GANCNNGNGGCNNCCCCCUAUACAUGCAANCUCGAGCGGAUAGAGAGAAGCUUGCUUCUCUUGAGAGCGGCGGACGGGUGAGUAAUGCCUAGGAAUCUGCCUGGUAGUGGGGGAUAACGCUCGGAAACGGACGCUAAUACCGCAUACGUCCUACGGGAGAAAGCAGGGGACCUUCGGGCCUUGCGCUAUCAGAUGAGCCUAGGUCGGAUUAGCUAGUUGGUGAGGUAAUGGCUCACCAAGGCGACGAUCCGUAACUGGUCUGAGAGGAUGAUCAGUCACACUGGAACUGAGACACGGUCCAGACUCCUACGGGAGGCAGCAGUGGGGAAUAUUGGACAAUGGGCGAAAGCCUGAUCCAGCCAUGCCGCGUGUGUGAAGAAGGUCUUCGGAUUGUAAAGCACUUUAAGUUGGGAGGAAGGGCAUUAACCUAAUACGUUAGUGUUUUGACGUUACCGACAGAAUAAGCACCGGCUAACUCUGUGCCAGCAGCCGCGGUAAUACAGAGGGUGCAAGCGUUAAUCGGAAUUACUGGGCGUAAAGCGCGCGUAGGUGGUUUGUUAAGUUGAAUGUGAAAUCCCCGGGCUCAACCUGGGAACUGCAUCCAAAACUGGCAAGCUAGAGUAUGGUAGAGGGUGGUGGAAUUUCCUGUGUAGCGGUGAAAUGCGUAGAUAUAGGAAGGAACACCAGUGGCGAAGGCGACCACCUGGACUGAUACUGACNCUGAGGUGCGAAAGCGUGGGGAGCAACAGGAUUAGAUACCCUGGUAGUCCCNCCGUAACGAUGUCACUANCNUUGGGGACUUGAGUCUUUAUGGCCACUACNCAUAAUUGACNCNUGGGANUCGGCCCAGNUAACNAAUAAUGCGGGGCCCCCACGGNGACCUGGUUAUCAAACNNAAACUCCGCUGCUCAUACUCAAAUGAGNNCUCGACUNANGGCUCUGUUCNCCNNCGANUGUANCNAANNCUNCUNUCCCUUGGGCUAGAUNGANCGAAGGNACCNUGCUCCGNCUAGNGAGUCCGGGAUCAANUCCUCCGA
This 1037-nucleotide ribosomal RNA is filed under the name Pseudomonas syringae. RNAcentral describes it as "partial 16S ribosomal RNA". The stretch from base 1 to 819 matches the Rfam family "Bacterial small subunit ribosomal RNA", at positions 33 to 873 of the family's 1533-position model. Lineage: Bacteria; Pseudomonadati; Pseudomonadota; Gammaproteobacteria; Pseudomonadales; Pseudomonadaceae. The record is from RNAcentral.